AUCUAUGACCAUACCAUCCUGAACGGGGCUGACCUCAUCUAAGCUAAGCAGGGUCAGACCUGGUUAGUGCUUGAAUGGUAGACCACCUGGGAAUACCAGGUGCUGCAGGCU
RNAcentral lists this ribosomal RNA (111 nucleotides) under Phascolarctos cinereus (koala). Lineage: Eukaryota; Metazoa; Chordata; Mammalia; Diprotodontia; Phascolarctidae. The record is from RNAcentral.